This 426-nucleotide ribosomal RNA is filed under the name uncultured bacterium. RNAcentral's name for it is "bacterial SSU rRNA". It matches the Rfam family "Bacterial small subunit ribosomal RNA", at positions 356 to 773 of the family's 1533-position model. The record is from RNAcentral.
AGGGAAUCUUCCGCAAUGGACGAAAGUCUGACGGAGCAACGCCGCGUGAGUGAAGAAGGCCUUCGGGUCGUAAAACUCUGUUGCCGGGGAAGAACAAGUGCCGUUCGAACAGGGCGGUGCCUUGACGGUACCCGGCCAGAAAGCCACGGCUAACUACGUGCCAGCAGCCGCGGUAAUACGUAGGUGGCAAGCGUUGUCCGGAAUUAUUGGGCGUAAAGCGCGCGCAGGCGGUUUCUUAAGUCUGAUGUGAAAUCGUGCGGCUCAACCGGAAGCGGUCAUUGGAAACUGGGAGGCUUGAGUGCAGAAGAGGAGAGUGGAAUUCCACGUGUAGCGGUGAAAUGCGGAGAGAUGUGGAGGAACACCAGUGGCGAAGGCGGCUCUCUGGUCUGUAACUGACGCUGAGGCGCGAAAGCGUGGGGAGCAAAC